ACCCUUAGAUGUUCUGGGCCGCACGCGCGCUACACUGACUACUUCAACGAGUUGUUUCCCUGAUCGAAAGGUCUGGGUAAUCUUUGAAAGGUAGUCGUGAUGGGGAUAGAUCCUUGCAAUUUUUGAUCUUCAACGAGGAAUUCCUAGUAAACGCAAGUCAUCAGCUUGCAUUGAUUACGUCCCUGCCCUUUGUACACACCGCCCGUCGCACCUACCGAUUGAAUGGUCCGGUGAAUCUUUAGGACUGUGGCUGAGGCCUUGCCUUGUGCGGGUCUGGCCGUGGGAAUUUAGUUAAACCUUACCAUUUAGAGGAAGGUGAAGUCGUAACA
Molecule: ribosomal RNA, 329 nt
Filed under: uncultured eukaryote
Lineage: Eukaryota
Description: partial 18S ribosomal RNA
Rfam family: Eukaryotic small subunit ribosomal RNA
Source: RNAcentral